Molecule: ribosomal RNA, 429 nt
Filed under: Verrucomicrobiota bacterium
Lineage: Bacteria; Pseudomonadati; Verrucomicrobiota
Description: Verrucomicrobia bacterium partial 16S ribosomal RNA
Rfam family: Bacterial small subunit ribosomal RNA
Source: RNAcentral
UAGGGAAUCUUCCGCAAUGGACGCAAGUCUGACGGAGCAACGCCGCGUGAGUGAAGAAGGUUUUCGGAUCGUAAAACUCUGUUGUAAGAGAAGAACAAAUUGUAGAGUAACUGCUACAAUCUUGACGGUAUCUUACCAGAAAGCCACGGCUAACUACGUGCCAGCAGCCGCGGUAAUACGUAGGUGGCAAGCGUUGUCCGGAUUUAUUGGGCGUAAAGGGGGCGCAGGCUGCUUCUUAAGUCUGAUGUGAAAGCCCACGGCUUAACCGUGGAAGUGCAUUGGAAACUGGGAAGCUUGAGUACAGAAGAGGAAAGUGGAACUCCAUGUGUAGCGGUGGAAUGCGUAGAUAUAUGGAAGAACACCAGUGGCGAAAGCGACUUUCUGGUCUGUCACUGACGCUGAGGCCCGAAAGCGUGGGUAGCAAACAGG